GACUGAACCUCUGAAAGUGUAAGCCAGCCCCAAUUAAAUGUUGUUUUCUACAAGAGUUGCUUUGGUCAUGGUGUGUCUUCAGAGCAGCGGGAACCCUAACUGGAUCAGCCCCUUCUCCCUUUGCUGCCUGGCCACUUGGCAGCUUCUCUGGGGGAAAUGCUGGCUGUGUUCGCCUCUCUGCUAUAAGGCACUGCUCUGCCUUUUAACUCCAAGCAAUGUCUGGAGCUACAGCAACCUUCUUGGACAAUUAGACAACAAAAUGUAAAUGUUGGUCACCCAAUGGCUGAGCAGAAAAGAGGAGAGGAGAGUCAGCUCACAGGGAAGAUGGAGGAAUUGGGGCAACGAAGAAGGGGUCUGAAGAGUCAGAUCAAUAAUAAUACGCAAGUAUCUUAGGAUGGGGCUGGGAGGUAGAAGAUUAGCAUAGAAGUUAAGGUGCAUCUUUCAUUUAACUGCUCAGCUGUCCAGGUGCAGUCUUAAAUCUUGGCUUCUCUGCAAAGUUAUUGGGAUUAGCAUAAGGUAAAUCAAUACAGCCACUGGAUUAAUUCACUGUUUACAUUUAUAUUAGGGAUAAUUAAUUCAUUUUCAGAAUCUAACUUGCACCCGUUUCUCCUAGGACCAUGCUUAAUCUUUUGUAACCCUUGAAUCCAUUUGUGUGACUGUCACAGGGUGGUCCUACUCUCUACAAGGCCAACACAAGUGAGAACCUGUGCUCACACUUGUCAUGGUGGUUCCCUGGGGCUAGAACAGAGUUGGAGAAAGAGAAGCACUCAGAACAAGUCGAGUUAGAUGAAUGAACACUGUUUGAUUCUGGAACAGCCACAGGGAGGCUGUGGAAGGAGUAGAGUGGAGGGCUGUAUUGGGUCAGAGUUCUAUUAUGGAGGGGUAGAAAUUUGAGGCGGUGUUUCUCUCAGUUCUGAAACUCACUCUAUAGACCAGGCUGGCCUCAAACUCACAAAAAUCUUUCUGCCUCUGCUUCUCAAGUGCUGGGAUUAAAGGUGUGCAUUGCCAGCUAAAAUUAAAAAAAAAAAAAAAGCCUUAAUCAUGGUUGGUGCUAAUGGCAGGUUCUGAAAUACAUUCCUCUCUAAUGGGGCAAAGCCACAGGGGCUGGGCAAUUCAACUCCCCAGUUAGCAGCUAUUGAAUACUCUCCUGUUGUCUUGGCUGCCUUGAGCAAACAGCCGGCCUGACUGCCCUUAUGCCAGCACCAGCCUUCUGGAACACUCCGCAGCUGCCCUGAGACAAGUGUACAAAAGACAGCAGCUGAGUGCUUUGGCUCCCCAGAGCAUAGUCCUAGCCAGGGCUGCUCGGAAGAGUCUGUAGUAGAUGCUUUUGCUCUAACAAGGCUUGAUAUAUAAGUCUGGGUAAAGAGUUUGUAUAGUUGUUCCAUUUGCCAUCCUUUUACAUAAAGAGAUUUUACCUGUCUCCAAUUAUUGUGGAUGUGGGAACCAAGCAGACAGAACUAUCUCAGAAAACAUCAGGUGACUGGGACUUCCUGAUAAGCUUGAGGCCAGGGAGUUUCACAGAAUUUGCUGAGUAAACACCCUAUUCAGGAAGUGUCCCAACCACAGUAAGGGUUGGACCCUCCACCUCCCCGCUCUUCUGCGUACCAGAGAUAUCUCCCCAUCAAGGUCCUCCAAUGAAUUCAAAGGACAAUAGGCGACCACCAGUGAAUUCAAAAGGUUGCCUCUGCCCCGAUUGCAGAAUGACCUCAGUGCACUGGAUCAAUAAACCUCUUGCUUCUUGCAUCAA
This is a long non-coding RNA of Rattus norvegicus (Norway rat), 1747 nucleotides long. RefSeq lists it as uncharacterized. The record is from RefSeq and is marked validated. NCBI's taxonomy places the organism in Eukaryota, Metazoa, Chordata, Mammalia, Rodentia, Muridae. The transcript is spliced from 3 exons.